Molecule: ribosomal RNA, 253 nt
Filed under: uncultured bacterium
Lineage: Bacteria
Description: partial 16S ribosomal RNA
Rfam family: Bacterial small subunit ribosomal RNA
Source: RNAcentral
UACGAAGGGGGCUAGCGUUGCUCGGAAUCACUGGGCGUAAAGGGUGCGUAGGCGGGUCGUUAAGUCAGGGGUGAAAUCCUGGAGCUCAACUCCAGAACUGCCUUUGAUACUGUGGAUCUUGAGUUCGGGAGAGGUGAGUGGAACUGCGAGUGUAGAGGUGAAAUUCGUAGAUAUUCGCAAGAACACCAGUGGCGAAGGCGGCUCACUGGCCCGAUACUGACGCUGAGGCACGAAAGCGUGGGGAGCAAACAGG